AAGGAGUUAGUUAAAAAUAACGUUAGAAUGUCAAUCUAAAAUAACUAAUUAAUUAGUACACCUUG
RNAcentral lists this transfer RNA (65 nucleotides) under Fruhstorferiola kulinga. Its description in RNAcentral is "tRNA-Asp". The record is from RNAcentral. Lineage: Eukaryota; Metazoa; Arthropoda; Insecta; Orthoptera; Acrididae. RNAcentral also lists the same sequence under 1 other name.